UACGUAGUUAGCCGGUGCUUAUUCAUAAGUUACCGUCAUAUUCUUCACUUAUAAAAGCAGUUUACAACCCGAAGGCCUUCAUCCUGCACGCGGCGUUGCUCCAUCAGGCUUUCGCCCAUUGUGGAAGAUUCCUCACUGCUGCCUCCCGUAGGAGUCUGGACCGUGUCUCAGUUCCAGUCUGGCUGAUCAUCCUCUCAGACCAGCUAUAGAUCGUCGGCUUGGUGAGCCUUUACCUCACCAACUACCUAAUCUAACGCGGGCCGCUCCCAAAGCGGAUAAAUCCUUUAAUCCGAAGAUCAUAUGCGGCAUUAGACUCCAUUUCUGAAGCUUAUUCCUCACUUUGGGGCACGUUCCCACGCGUUACUCAGCCGUCCGCCGCUCGUCAUCAUUUCUCACAAUUCCCUCCUUAUAAAUAAGAAGAAGACAGUGAGAAACAUGUUACCGCUCGACUUGCAUGUGUUAGGCACGCCGCCAGCAUUCA
RNAcentral lists this ribosomal RNA (481 nucleotides) under uncultured bacterium. RNAcentral describes it as "partial 16S ribosomal RNA". The record is from RNAcentral.